Molecule: ribosomal RNA, 983 nt
Filed under: Taenia ovis (sheep tapeworm)
Lineage: Eukaryota; Metazoa; Platyhelminthes; Cestoda; Cyclophyllidea; Taeniidae
Description: LSU rRNA
Rfam family: Bacterial large subunit ribosomal RNA (bases 661-941)
Source: RNAcentral
UUGAUAAUUGAUAAGUUGGAUUGUAUUUGAGUGUUUUGGGUUUAUUUGCCUUUUGCAUCAUGCUUGAUGGAUUUUUAUGAAGUAUUUUUUUAAUCGAAUAGUUUAGAUCUUAAUGUCAGUUGUUUAGAAUGUUAUUUUGAAUUAGGUAAAUUUAAAUAAAUUGGUUUUAUGAUGUGAUAAGUUAUUCGUUAAAUUUUAUUUCUAUUUAGUUGCUUAAUUAUUUUACAUUAUAUGAUAAGUUAAAAGAUUUGUCAUAAUAUUAUACUGUUGAUUAGAUUUCAUUAAUAUUGGGUUAGAAGUACCUAUUUUUUGUAAGUUUGUUAUAAAAGAUGGUCUGUUUUGUUUUGUAGUUAAGUUUGGUGGCAACUUAAGGUAAUAAGUAGUGUGUUAUUUAUCAUUAAAUUAGUAAUUAUAUUAUACUAAUUAUUUCUCAGGGUCUUUCCGUCUGUUUAUUAAAAACAUUUCUAGUUUGAAUAUUAACUAGUAGUGCCUGCCCGGUGUUAGUUUAGAUAAUAAAUGGCCGCAGUAUCUUGACUGUGCAAAGGUAGCAUAAUUAAUUGCCUUUUAAUUGGGGGCUUGUUUGAAUGGUUUGACGAGAGAGAUGUGAAUAUUUGGUAUUGGUGUGAAUUUGAUGUUGGGAAUACAGAAUUUCCAGAGUUUAAUAAGACGGAAAGACCCUGGGAUCUUUAUUUUUUUGCUUGGGGCAAGUUUCAUUUUUUCAGUGUAAUUGUGACCCUAACUAUAGUUUAGUGAGUUAAGUUACCCCAGGGAUAACAGUGUGAUAAUUAAUGAGAGAUCUUAUCGAAUUAGUUGUUUGCCACCUCGAUGUUGACUUAGGUUAGGACUUGGGUGCAGUAGUCUAAGUUUUUGGUCUGUUCGACCUUAUUUACCUUCAUGAGUUGAGUUAAGACCGGCGUGAGCCAGGUCGGUUCUUAUCUAUUGUAGAAGUUUAUCAGUACGAAAGGAUAGUAAGCUUUUUUGUU